This 774-nucleotide ribosomal RNA is filed under the name Triticum aestivum (bread wheat). RNAcentral's name for it is "partial small subunit ribosomal RNA". Lineage: Eukaryota; Viridiplantae; Streptophyta; Magnoliopsida; Poales; Poaceae. The record is from RNAcentral.
AUGAGUAAACACAACUGGACCAUCUUUACUUGUAACGUACGAAGUCUGAACAACCCCGCACAACGUCUGGUUGUUCGAGAUUUGGUCCGCCAAAACCGUGCUUCCAUAGUCUGCCUUCAAGAAACAAAACUUGAUGUGGUCAAUCACGUCGCUGUCCAUGAGAUCCUGGGGCCCCUCUUUCGUGACUCCUUCUUCUACCUCCAUGCAGCUGGAACAAGGGGCGCCAUAAUCUUGGCUUUCAACUCAGACCUCUUCUCCAUCUAGAGCACCUUCAACACCCUAAACACUAUUUCUGCAACCAUCUCCAUGCGAGCUUCUAUUGCAUCUUGGUGCAUCAUGGCAGUAUAUGGUCCACAAGGCGAUAGUGAGAAAUUCUCCUUCAUCAAUGAGCUUAAAACAAUCUGUCAAAACAACUUGCAUGCAUGGUUGCUGCUAGGUGAUUUCAACCUCUUGUGUAAGGCAUACGACAAGAGAAAUGCAAUGGUCAGAAGCCUGAUCAAUGCCUUCCAUGCUGCUCUAAAUAACAUGGAGGUUUCUGAGUUGCGACUUCACGGAUGGCGAUUCACCUGGACGAGCACCUGUCAAUUGCAAACAAAAACUAAGAUCGACCAUGUCUUCUACUCAAAUGAAUGGGGCCUGCUAUUCCCCCAAUGCAACCUAUGUCACGCCCAAUAUGCGACCCUAUCCAAAAGGAACUUGAAGGUCCCACCAAGGAUAGACCCGCAUAUUGAAACGCUUUUGCAAGGUGGAUAUCAUUACAUCAACAUUACAUAA